This 824-nucleotide ribosomal RNA is filed under the name uncultured bacterium. RNAcentral's name for it is "bacterial SSU rRNA". It matches the Rfam family "Bacterial small subunit ribosomal RNA", at positions 8 to 877 of the family's 1533-position model. The record is from RNAcentral.
AGAGUUUGAUCCUGGCUCAGGAUUAACGCUGGCGGCGUGCCUAACACAUGCAAGUCGAGCGCCCCUUCGGGGGCGCGGCGGACGGCUGAGUAACACGUUGGUACCUGCCCCGAACUCGGGGACACGCACUGGAAACGGUGUCUAAUACCCGAUAGUUCUCUUCGGAGUAAAGAUUUAUCGGUUCGGGAGGGGCCUGCGCCCGAUUAGCUUGUUGGUGAGGUAACGGCUCACCAAGGCUCUGAUCGGUAGGUGGUCUGAGAGGAUGAUCACCCAGACUGGGACUGAGACACGGCCCAGACUCCUACGGGAGGCAGCAGUGAGGAAUCUUGCACAAUGGGGGAAACCCUGAUGCAGCAACGCCGCGUGGAGGAAGAAUGCCUUCGGGUUGUAAACUCCUUUUAGACGGGACGAACAUUGACGGUACCGUCUGAAUAAGGACUGGCUAACCACGUGCCAGCAGCCGCGGUAAUACGUGGAGUCCAAGCGUUAUCCGGAUUUACUGGGCGUAAAGCGUCUGUAGGUGUCCAAUUAAGUCUUCGGUGAAAUCUCCGGGCUCAACUCGGAAACUGUCGAGGAAACUAGUUGGAUCGAGUUUGGUAGAGGUAGAUGGAAUUCUUGGUGUAGGGGUAAAAUCCGUUGAUAUCAAGAAGAACACCAGUGGCGAAGGCGAUCUACUGGGCCAAUACUGACACUGAGAGACGAAAGCGUGGGGAGCGAACGGGAUUAGAUACCCCGGUAGUCCACGCUGUAAACGAUGGGCACUAGGCAUCUGGGGCAUAGACCCCCUGGGUGUCGUAGCUAACGCGUUAAGUGCCCCGCCUGGG